UAUUGGUCAAUGGGCGCAGGCCUGAACCAGCCAAGUAGCGUGAAGGAUGACUGCCCUAUGGGNUGUAAACUUCUUUUAUAUGGGANNNNNNNUNUCCACGUGUGGAAUUUUGUAUGUACCAUAUGAAUAANNNUNANCUAAUUCCGUGCCAGGAGCCGCGGUAAUACGGAGGAUCCGAGCGUCAUCCGGUUUUAUGGGGUUUAAAGGGAGCGUAGGUGGACAGUUAAGUCAGUUGUGAAAGUUUGCGGCUCAACCGUAAAAUUGCAGUUGAUACUGGCUGUCUUGAGUACAGUAGAGGUGGGCGGAAUUCGUGGUGUAGCGGUGAAAUGCUUAGAUAUCACGAAGAACUCCGAUUGCGAAGGCAGCUCACUGGACUGCAACUGACACUGAUGCUCGAAAGUGUGGGUAUCAAAC
Molecule: ribosomal RNA, 414 nt
Filed under: uncultured bacterium
Lineage: Bacteria
Description: partial 16S ribosomal RNA
Rfam family: Bacterial small subunit ribosomal RNA
Source: RNAcentral